RNAcentral lists this ribosomal RNA (416 nucleotides) under Salmonella enterica subsp. enterica serovar Infantis. RNAcentral describes it as "partial 16S ribosomal RNA". It matches the Rfam family "Bacterial small subunit ribosomal RNA", at positions 1 to 413 of the family's 1533-position model. The record is from RNAcentral. Lineage: Bacteria; Pseudomonadati; Pseudomonadota; Gammaproteobacteria; Enterobacterales; Enterobacteriaceae. RNAcentral also lists the same sequence under 1 other name.
AAAUUGAAGAGUUUGAUCAUGGCUCAGAUUGAACGCUGGCGGCAGGCCUAACACAUGCAAGUCGAACGGUAACAGGAAGCAGCUUGCUGCUUCGCUGACGAGUGGCGGACGGGUGAGUAAUGUCUGGGAAACUGCCUGAUGGAGGGGGAUAACUACUGGAAACGGUGGCUAAUACCGCAUAACGUCGCAAGACCAAAGAGGGGGACCUUCGGGCCUCUUGCCAUCAGAUGUGCCCAGAUGGGAUUAGCUUGUUGGUGAGGUAACGGCUCACCAAGGCGACGAUCCCUAGCUGGUCUGAGAGGAUGACCAGCCACACUGGAACUGAGACACGGUCCAGACUCCUACGGGAGGCAGCAGUGGGGAAUAUUGCACAAUGGGCGCAAGCCUGAUGCAGCCAUGCCGCGUGUAUGAAGAAG